RNAcentral lists this ribosomal RNA (574 nucleotides) under uncultured bacterium. Its description in RNAcentral is "partial 16S ribosomal RNA". It matches the Rfam family "Bacterial small subunit ribosomal RNA", at positions 355 to 919 of the family's 1533-position model. The record is from RNAcentral.
UGGGGAAUUUUGGACAAUGGGCGAAAGCCUGAUCCAGCAAUGCCGCGUGUGUGAAGAAGGCCUUCGGGUUGUAAAGCACUUUUGUCCGGAAAGAAAUCCUUGGCUCUAAUACAGUCGGGGGAUGACGGUACCGGAAGAAUAAGCACCGGCUAACUACGUGCCAGCAGCCGCGGUAAUACGUAGGGUGCAAGCGUUAAUCGGAAUUACUGGGCGUAAAGCGUGCGCAGGCGGUUUGCUAAGACCGAUGUGAAAUCCCCGGGCUCAACCUGGGAACUGCAUUGGUGACUGGCAGGCUAGAGUAUGGCAGAGGGGGGUAGAAUUCCACGUGUAGCAGUGAAAUGCGUAGAGAUGUGGAGGAAUACCGAUGGCGAAGGCAGCCCCCUGGGCCAAAUACUGACGCUCAUGCACGAAAAGCGUGGGGAGCAAACAGGAUUAGAUACCCUGGUAGUCCACGCCCUAAAACGAUGUCAACUAGUUGUUGGGGAUUCAUUUCCUUAGUAACGUAGCUAACGCGUGAAGUUGACCGCCUGGGGAGUACGGUCGCAAGAUUAAAACUCAAAGGAAUUGACGGGGU